Long non-coding RNA from Equus caballus (horse), 3714 nucleotides. RefSeq lists it as uncharacterized. Lineage: Eukaryota; Metazoa; Chordata; Mammalia; Perissodactyla; Equidae. The record is from RefSeq and is a predicted model, not a curated record.
AUGGCCAAUAAGACAGCAGAGUAGAGGAUAAAGUCAACAGUAUGAAAAGGAAAACCUGGACAGCUACGAAGAAUAACCAAGGGACUCGAUACUUUAUAAGGCUACAGUGGCCAUUUUGAGAAGAAUUGUCCCAGUCAACUUUAGAGCUGAUGGAAACAGGAUAAGAAAACUGAUCUCAGAUCUUUGUUGUUGAGUCUAGAAGUGGAACCAGACUGUCUUCCUACCCCCUUCCUGCACCUGAGCAGCUCACCAUCUCCAGAGGAAAGCACACAAUUGACUUCAUCUCAUUUUCCAGCCUGGAGGCCCCUUGAAGAGAACAACCACACCGAGUGGAGUUUUGUCUCACAAUUUGGGGCAGGCUUUGACGAGGUUCACACUGUGAGCAGGAGGAAAACCAGAAGCUCAGUGUUACUCCUGUUCUGUCAUACUUCUCACACUUCCUCACCAAAGUGGUCCCCAAAGCAGAAGAAAUGGACGGUAUGGGAUGCUGUCGCUGAACACGUCCUGCGGAAGCGUGACAUUUCUAUUAAUAAAACUGCCACUACAGAAAAUGCCGCAUGUUCAUCCUAUGGCCUUCCAGACCGUCUUGCAUCCCAUCCGUGUCCUCAGAGGUAUGUGUCAACCCAACUGGAGGAACAGCCAGCUGUACCACACAGCCUUGCCCAGCUGGGGGGUGAAGGCACAACUUGCUAACAUUGCUAUUUGUAUAUCAGUGAGUGAAAUGAGAAGCACCAACUCAGUUAAGCAACAGAUAUUUUCAAGGCAAAUUUGCUGAGCAAUAUCCCAGCUUCAAGAGUUAUCAGAGGUGAAUAACAUCUGGACAGGCUUUUAAGACAUUUCACAACUUAGAUGGAAAGAAACUCUUCUUGACUUUCCCAAAUAUGCAACCACACUCCACCCUCCCCUCAUCUGAACGACUAAUGUACCUCUUGCGGAUGACUGUGACAUUUAUUGCACCUAUUUAAAGGAUAUAAUGUUCCCUAGAGAGAAAAAAAUUAAUAAAUGCUUGUAUGUCCAGCAUGAGAAACAGUAACUAGAGAAGACAAAGUUUCAUGUUACCUGACUCCUAGAUACACCUGCUCAACCUUUCAGAGGCCUGAGUCUGUAAGGAUAAAGAAUGCAAUAUGAGAAAUAGCAGUGCAUUACCCAGAGAGUUCCAUUUUACAGCUCAGAAAAAGACAGGAGAUCUUCUAUUAUUUAUGGCAGGUUAUUUAUGGGGGAUAGAAUUCUCAAAAAUUUGGCUUUCUGCUUUAUAAAAUUAUCUCCAAAUGCAAUAAUCAUACAUAAAUGCUCUACUUCCUGUUGCUACUCAUAAUGGGCUUUUUGGUAAAUAUUUUCUUCUAUCACCAAAACAAUCUAAAUAACUUGUUUUGAUUUACUUGCUGAAAAAUCAUUGUAAAAUAGAAAAAUACUGUGUUCUUGCGAGGACAUAAAAUUCAUAUAUGUAGCAAGAAGGUGAGCUUUAAAAGUACAGUUCAGAAACUACAGACUUGAAUUCCUUUUGAUAUAUAUCUUAGUUUUAAUUAUCUUCUCUUUCCUUGAAUUUUGAUAUCUAAAAACUGAAUCCCUCUCUUCUGGAGACAGUGCACAUACUGCAAAGCUGCAAGGGUGUACAGAAUUCCAAAACUGUAGAAUAUAAUAAAAAUUAAAACCAGUAAAUCAAAUGUUUAAAAUUUAAUAUAUCAUUAUCGGGGUCUAUGAGCCUUCAUGCUUAGGAUGGACUCAUGGGGAGAUUCAAGAUUUCAAGCGAGAGUUUCAUAUCAGAAUUAUCUUCUCUAGACUAAAACCAUAUUCCAAGAGUUCUGACUUGGCAGAUCUAAAUUUAGAACUGUCUUUUAAAAUACUGAUUGUACAGCAAAGUAUACAAAUAAACAGACUCCAGGGAGGCAAAAGCAUUCGCUCCUUUCCUCCAGAAUCAGCUUCCUUUACACCACCCUGCUCUGGUGGCUGUAAGCCAAUUCCUGUGGCAAGACAUAUUAAAACAGCUGUGUGGCUCUGUGCUGAUCUGCAACGUGAUAUUUGGCUCCGUCAAGUCUGGAAAAUGACUCGGGAGCUAAUGCUGUUACCUGCCUGACUUCAAUGUAUCUUUGUUUGCUUGCCACAGGAACAACAAUGUAAUAACAGGCUGUUUACUGUCUUCAUUAUAGUGGACUGGUGAGGCUGAGUUCUAGAGGCGCUGGCAAAACUCAGCCAACAGAUUGGUGGUUUUAUUUAUUUAUUUUUUUAUAAAGUUAGCUUUUAAUGGCCCAUUUGUGAUUGAAUCCAGAACUUCAUAGUCCAUACUGCUGACCACUGUUAUAGCUAGGAGUCCUCGAUUUUGCCAAGAAUUACUGGCUGUGUCCAUAAGACACCAACAGGACCAGAUGCAAAAUGCCAUGUACUAGUUAUUUUGUCUAUAUUACAAUUCUGAUGGUAAUUUUUAAGUGACCCAACCAAUUUAAUACAAAUAGGGAGUGAACACAGACAUACCACCAAGUGGAAUUUUGCACUGUGGGGUAUGCUUGUGUGAGUGGUUCUUUUCUCACAGGUUCUAUUGUGAAAGAUUAUUGUUUGUGUCAACUUGUCAGAGCUACAACAGAGAGUAAGUCAUCUCACUUACUUGAAAUCCAAGUCUUAAAUUUAGUUAGAAUAAGCAGAUUUAUUAAUGAUUAUUAUAAUGUGGGUCAUACUAAUUGAAAAUAUCAAUUUAUAAAUUCUCAUUGAGUAUUGAGUUUUUUCUACUGUGUUAGGUUACCAUUGUUUAUAUUCCUAUGUUUCUAUUAAGUUCAGGGUGUGGCUGACUGUUUUGAUGUUAGGGUGAUAAUAGAGAGAAGCAGUUGGUUUUAACUUGGGGGGAUUUCAAAGAAAUUAGAAUCAUCUCGGGCCAUUUUAUUUAUUUUGAUAAUUUUUCAUCCUAGUCAAAAGAGACAAUGGCUAUGUCUGACUCAGGGAAAAGCACAUAAUCUAAUUUGUACCAGGAUUUAGGAGGAUUUAUUACACCACAACAAAAAAUGAAAUAGAAGCAAAACGUAAAACAUAGGGACAUUCAAACCUACCCCUUCUGUCUCCCAGUGUUUCAUUUUCCAGGCAUCCCCUGCCUUUCUUCCUGCGUCUCUGUCAAUCACAGGACUUGUCUGGCUCUCUGUCAUGUUCUCUUUCUUUCUUUCAUACCAGCAGCAUCUACCUUUUAAUACCAGCCUCUGGUACUACUCACCUUUUUCUCUCUUUUAAAUGCCUUUUCACAUUAAAAAAAAAAAAAAGAAAAGAGGUUGAGAGAAAUCUAAUUAUCUUCUGCCAUUUUCUCCCUCUCUCCUUGCCUCCUCCAUCCCUGGGAGAAAAUAGAUUCAGAUGCUUUAGGAUCAACAUACCUUUUUAACCUAAAUGAGAUUCUGAUUUUUCUACUCCAAUUUGGGAAAAUGAUAUAACAUCCUUGUCUCAUUUGGGAUUCAAGGAGGAAAGCUUUUAAUAUCUCUGUUGUAAUAUAUGAAUAUGUGAAACAUAAUGCUUGCUGUGCAUUUUUUAAUCAGAUUAAUGAAAUUCCCUUUUAUUCCUAGUUUAGUAAGUUUAUUCCUAGUUUAGUACUGUUUUGAAUAGAUUGAAUUUUAUCAAAUGCCUUUUUGUAUCUAUUGUAAUGAUCACACAAUGUUUUUCCUUUAUGACAUUAAUAUGGUGAAUUACUUUGGUCUUUGAGUAUAAAUACCUUUCUGGAGUAAAUAUCUGUAGUGAUGACCUCUU